This 467-nucleotide ribosomal RNA is filed under the name uncultured bacterium. Its description in RNAcentral is "bacterial SSU rRNA". It matches the Rfam family "Bacterial small subunit ribosomal RNA", at positions 8 to 521 of the family's 1533-position model. The record is from RNAcentral.
AGAGUUUGAUCCUGGCUCAGAACGUACGCUGGCGGCACGCUUAACACAUGCAAGUCGAACGCAGUAGCAAUACUGAGUGGCAGACGGGUGAGUAUAAUGUGGGAAUCUGCCUUUUGGUUUGGAAUAACUCGGGGAAACUUGAGCUAAUACCGGAUAAGCCCUUACGGGGAAAGUUUUAAUGCCAAAAGAUGAGCCCGCACUUGAUUAGCUAGUUGGUAAGGUAAAAGCUUACCAAGGCAACGAUCAAUAGCUGUUCUUAGAGGAAGACCAGCCACAUUGGGACUGAGACACGGCCCAGACUCCUACGGGAGGCAGCAGUGGGGAAUCUUGCACAAUGGGGGAAACCCUGAUGCAGCGAUGCCGCGUGAGUGAAGAAGGCCUUUGGGUCGUAAAACUCUUUCGUCGGGGAAGAAAAUGACUGUACCCGAAUAAGAAGGUCCGGCUAACUUCGUGCCAGCAGCCGCGGU